Molecule: small nucleolar RNA, 95 nt
Organism: Pogoniulus pusillus (Red-fronted tinkerbird)
Lineage: Eukaryota; Metazoa; Chordata; Aves; Piciformes; Lybiidae
Product: small nucleolar RNA SNORD35
Exons: 1
Source: RefSeq, a predicted model, not a curated record
UGCAGAUGAUGGCUGUGUUCUCACGAUGGUCUGCUGAGCCUCACGGUGAGGAGGCCUUGAGGACCACGCCCCAAGGGCUCUGCUGAUGCCUGGCC